This 497-nucleotide ribosomal RNA is filed under the name uncultured bacterium. RNAcentral's name for it is "partial 16S ribosomal RNA". It matches the Rfam family "Bacterial small subunit ribosomal RNA", at positions 28 to 507 of the family's 1533-position model. The record is from RNAcentral.
GAUGAACGCUGGCGGCGUGCCUAAUACAUGCAAGUCGAGCGAACGGACGAGAAGCUUGCUUCUCUGAUGUUAGCGGCGGACGGGUGAGUAACACGUGGAUAACCUACCUAUAAGACUGGGAUAACUUCGGGAAACCGGAGCUAGUACCGGAUAAUAUUUUGAACCGCAUGGUUCAAAAGUGGAAGACGGUCUUGCUGUCACUUAUAGAUGGAUCCGCGCUGCAUUAGCUAGUUGGUAAGGUAACGGCUUACCAAGGCAACGAUGCAUAGCCGACCUGAGAGGGUGAUCGGCCACACUGGAACUGAGACACGGUCCAGACUCCUACGGGAGGCAGCAGUAGGGAAUCUUCCGCAAUGGGCGAAAGCCUGACGGAGCAACGCCGCGUGAGUGAUGAAGGUCUUCGGAUCGUAAAACUCUGUUAUUAGGGAAGAACAUAUGUGUAAGUAACUGUGCACAUCUUGACGGUACCUAAUCAGAAAGCCACGGCUAACUACGUG